GAAGGACAACAUCGAUCAUCCUCUGCAUCCGUUCUGGGUUAAAGUUCACCUCAGCUACAACCAUCUAAAGCCAGGAAACAGGUUUAGAAAAUAAAACCUCUUUUUUGGUUCUAGAGACGCCCGCCUCUCAUUUCUACAAAAACUUUCCGUCCUUUCAGGAUUUUGACACCAGGUGAAUCUUCAGGAUGUCCUCCUUCUUCAGGACUUUGACUCUGAUGUUUCUGCUCCUGCGUGGACUUUCAGCAGAUGACAGUGUGUCACUAAACUGCAGCCAAACAGUGGAAGUUACAUAUGGAGAGGAUCUGAAUCUUAGUUGUGACAUUAAAUGGAAACAACCUGAUUGCCAGUAUGAAAACAUUUCAGUUAAGUGGAUCCACACAACAGAAAACCUCUGUGAGAAGAACAGAUGUGAAAAUAAAACCUUUGCCUCACUGCAAAUGUUUAAUGUCAUCGAGGAGAAGAACAUCAGCGUUAGCAUUAGUGCUAAUUGUGGCACGGAUUCUGUCCGUAUCAGCCUGAAGAUCAAACCUGAUGAGCAGCUUUCUGUCCUAUUUAGUUUGGGAUGUUUUGACUUUGCUCCUUUAAAUAAAAAGAGAUGUUCAUUUUUGCUGAAAAGGUGGAACCAAGGCGCUGAUGAACAAUAAACACGAGUUUACUCCAAAACCA
Oryzias latipes (Japanese medaka) is the source of this 666-nucleotide long non-coding RNA. RefSeq lists it as uncharacterized. The record is from RefSeq and is a predicted model, not a curated record. NCBI's taxonomy places the organism in Eukaryota, Metazoa, Chordata, Actinopteri, Beloniformes, Adrianichthyidae.